RNAcentral lists this ribosomal RNA (468 nucleotides) under Escherichia coli. RNAcentral describes it as "partial 23S ribosomal RNA". It matches the Rfam family "Bacterial large subunit ribosomal RNA", at positions 467 to 934 of the family's 2925-position model. Lineage: Bacteria; Pseudomonadati; Pseudomonadota; Gammaproteobacteria; Enterobacterales; Enterobacteriaceae. The record is from RNAcentral.
UAAAUACUCCUGACUGACCGAUAGUGAACCAGUACCGUGAGGGAAAGGCGAAAAGAACCCCGGCGAGGGGAGUGAAAAAGAACCUGAAACCGUGUACGUACAAGCAGUGGGAGCACAGAGCAAUCUGUGUGACUGCGUACCUUUUGUAUAAUGGGUCAGCGACUUAUAUUCUGUAGCAAGGUUAACCGAAUAGGGGAGCCGAAGGGAAACCGAGUCUUAACUGGGCGUUAAGUUGCAGGGUAUAGACCCGAAACCCGGUGAUCUAGCCAUGGGCAGGUUGAAGGUUGGGUAACACUAACUGGAGGACCGAACCGACUAAUGUUGAAAAAUUAGCGGAUGACUUGUGGCUGGGGGUGAAAGGCCAAUCAAACCGGGAGAUAGCUGGUUCUCCCCGAAAGCUAUUUAGGUAGCGCCUCGUGAAUUCAUCUCCGGGGGUAGAGCACUGUUUCGGCAAGGGGGUCAUCCCGA